RNAcentral lists this ribosomal RNA (181 nucleotides) under Vibrio parahaemolyticus. Its description in RNAcentral is "partial 23S ribosomal RNA". It matches the Rfam family "Bacterial large subunit ribosomal RNA", at positions 2768 to 2925 of the family's 2925-position model. The record is from RNAcentral. Lineage: Bacteria; Pseudomonadati; Pseudomonadota; Gammaproteobacteria; Vibrionales; Vibrionaceae.
CCGCUGAAAGCAUCUAAGCGGGAAGCGAGCCCUGAGAUGAGUCUUCCCUGAUACUUUAAGUAUCCUAAAGGGUUGUCGGAGACUACGACGUUGAUAGGUCAGGUGUGUAAGUGCUGUGAGGCAUUGAGCUAACUGAUACUAAUUGCCCGUGAGGCUUAACCAUACAACACCCAAGGGGUUU